This 39751-nucleotide long non-coding RNA is filed under the name Mytilus galloprovincialis (Mediterranean mussel). Lineage: Eukaryota; Metazoa; Mollusca; Bivalvia; Mytilida; Mytilidae. The record is from RNAcentral.
CUCAUACAAUCAUUGUUUAUAUUGCAUAUAACAUGAGCACAUAUACAAAUGAUAUAUCCUGUACAAGGACAAACGUAUCGAUGUAGUACAUGAGACAUAAAUACACAUAUAUUGAAGACAUAUUGCGGUGGUCUGCUGUUAUCUGGUCUUUGGUCAGGUUGUUGUCUCUUUGACAUAUUCCCCAUUUCCGUUUUCAAUUUUAUUCUUAUUUACAAUUAAAAAGACGAAAAACAUUGUAUCAUAAAAAGCAUGGUCGAAACAUAAAGAAAAUAAGAGAUAACAAUUGUUUUGAAAAAAAAAAACAUGUUCAUGCAUGUUCUUUUGCAUUUGCAUUUCUUGAUAGCAAAAUAAAAUCUUGCUUGUAUUGCAACAGCAUGCAAUAAAAUUUCUUCUUUUUCCAAUGUGCAUUUUCACUUUGCAUGUCAAAAGUUCUAUAUCUGCCAUAUCAUAACAAAAGUUUAAUAUGCCAAAUUCACAUGAUAGUUUAUACAAAUUUGCAUCUUCACAAUGAUAUCAUUAAUCAUACAUAGUAAAAGGGAAUGAUCCCCCGUUUCCCUUUCAACAACUGGUAUUCUUAAAGUAACAAAGUUACCUAGCUGUUUCCAUCUUUGCAUUAUUUUUCGACACUUUUUAAUGAUAUAAUUCAAUUUCAGGUACUGACAUGAUAAAUACAGGAGAUUAACAAAUUAAAUUAACGUGACUUUUUUAAAUAGUUAAAAUAUUAGAUUUAUAUUUCCGUUUCAAUUGAACUUUUUAUUUUAUUUCAAAAUUUCAAUUAUGUUGAUCUGUAAUUUACAUUUGUAUUUAAUAAAUUUGACCAACUUCUUAUAAUUAGGCAGACCGUACGCGUACAGUCCGACCGUAUGCGUAUUUUGAAAAAAAGGUUUGCAUACGGUCAAGACCGUAGGCGUACGGUCCUAAUACUCAUAUGGUCUAGAACAUAUACAUCAUCCACAGUUUAAAAGAAAAAUAAAUAUAACAAUAUUUAAAGAAAUCUAAUUUGUUGUAAAACUUUAGUGAGUUGUGAUGUGAGUAUCUUGCUACUACAUUACGAUUUAUCUAAUGUGUUGUCUAACAAGUAAUUCUUGCGAUAUAAAGACUCAUUAGAAUAACGGCCUCAUAGUUUUGAACCAGUGAAUACACGUAUCAUCAAAUCUAAAUAACAUAUAUGACGGAGAAAAAACUCAAGUUUGGUUACUCUCUUAUUCAACUUUCAACUCUACGCGAUUGUUUAAAAGCAAUGUGUAAAUUACGUUUUAUAUACAUAUACAUGAUAUAUUGUGUUAGUACAGUGGAUUUUUAACACAAAUGGUUUACUUACUGCAAAAGGGAAUUUGUAUUACAUAUUUGCUGAAGCAAUGAUAGUUCAUCUAUUUGAGAAGAAGCUAUAAUCCUAUUUACAUAUUGUUUAGACAAAACAUGUUAUUUAACACACUUAAUAAGCCAAAUGGAUGCCGGAAGUCUUUGCAUAUAAUUACAGAUAUGUGGCGUCAAAAAGAGGACAUAUAUCUACUAAUAAGAUUUGAUUGCCUUUUGAAGCUGUUCCCAAAAAACAACAUCGCCGUACUCAUCAUUUGGAUACUCAAUAUAUGAUUGACAAUGAACCAGUUCCAGUAUUUUAAGUGGAAGAUCGCAAGCAGACAUUUGCUCGUAAAAUACUAGGAAAAGGAUGUUCUCACAAUUGCGUUCAUAGAUACUCUCCAUUUUAGCCAUAUUAUAUUCGAACAUACACCAGUACGAAGCUAAAUAAUUUGCAGACAUUAUGACAAUAGUUUUCCGGCUGUUAUGAAUUGCGGAUGUAAUAUUGGUGGCGAUGUCAUUUCCCGGUAGGAAAUUACGCCUAUGCAAGCACAACUGAAUUCCACCAUUUUUUUCCAGAUUAUUGAGAAGUUUAUGGUGGACAAAUGUGUCAUCCUCAUUUGCAUAUGAGACGAACGCGUCAUACAUGUAUAGUCGUUCAUCUUUGUCGUCUGAACGAGGUUCGGGGUCAUGCCAUUUGACUUUGACCAUGUAGUAAAGAUAGCGUAGUUUCCAUCUAUAUCUGUAAACAAUACCACCACAAAGAAUAAAAAUAAACAUCAAUAUUCCUGUCGUUAAUCCAAUUAUUAAGCCUUCAUAUGACAUACAUUCCUUUUGUAUUGUUUUAAAAACUUCUCUCGGGUUUUGCAGAAGACUGAUGGUGUUUUGUGAUGUUUUACAUUCGUAUUCUUCCCGAUGAUGAAGAAUGGUUGAUGUGUAAAUUAUCCAUUUGACGAAAGACUGAGAAUCACAAUUACAUACAAGAUUAUUUUCAGCAAGGUCAAUAGUAAGAUUUUUACUAAUUUUGGCAAUCGAGUCCAACUCGUUCAUGGCAUAUUGACUCAGUGCAGAUAUUCUAUUAUUCCGUAAAUUUAAAGACGUGAGUUUUUUCAUAUGAGAAAGUUUAAAGUUGAUAUCCUCAAUCAUGUUUUCACUGAGGUCUAAUUUUUCUAAAUUGUGUUGCUUUUGAAAUAACAGAUGUGGUAUAUUCGUUAUUUUAUUUUUAGAAAGAUUUAUGUACAGGACGUUAUGGAGGUUCUGAAAUAUUUCUCCGUUGACAUCCUUUGGUAAAACAAGUCCUAGAAGAUUGUUUUGUAGCAGUAAACAUCUUAAAUUGAUGAAAUCUGAACUAAAAAAUGUCUUUGAAACAUUGGAACAAAAGUUUACUGAAAGGUCCAAAUGUGUUAGUUUUUUUACAUUCGUUAUUGGACCUGUCCAUGUAUGCAAGAUAUUAUCACUCAAAUCUAUAUUUUCUAUUUCAUUUUCAGUGAAACUCAAGUUUGGUAGUUCAAGUUUUACGCUGUUAGACCUCAUCGAAACCUUUAUCAGAUUCCUUGGCAUUGGAAAAACAAACUUACCAGAUCUAUUUUUAAACAGUUCCAAAAUUGGAAGUUCUUUAUAUAACCAAUUAUUUUCAGAAUUGAUGGUAAUAUUUUCUUCUUUAAUCGGACAUUUUUCUACAUAAGAUGAGAUCAUAUCAAAAGGAGAAGUAUUGUCAGACAUUUCCAGUGAUACAAUUGGCAUAUUUGUGAGAUCAAGGAAAUAUUUGCCUGCAGAUAAAACGUUUUUCGUUAUGUCUACACUUUUGAGUGUUUCAGGUAAAUAUUUAAUUGCUCCGGAUUCUAUUGUCUGGAUACGGUUCCCGGCGCCUUCCAGUCUAACAAUUGACGUAUUCUGUAAAUUCCAAAUGUGAGAAGUUUUCAGGACUGUAGUCUUUUCCAAAAUACCAUGAAUAUAGUUAAAUUUCAAGAUUUCAAUUGCUGAAUGCUGCAAAUCGGUGGUAAUAUUUUCAAGCGCGUCGAAUCGUAAACAUGUGUUUAGAGAAACGUCAAUUUCCAAUAUAUUUCUCAAUAACUUAAACGUUCCUUUGAAAAGAUAUUGUAUUUUGCAUUGGGAUAAGUUCAAAUGAGUUAUUUGAGGCAAGAACAAGAAUGUUUUCUCUGUUAGUAUAGUCAACUUGCAAUUACCAGUUAAGCCAGAUAGAUCUAUUUUUUUAAGGUUUUUAAAAUAGCUGAAUUUCUCAUCGAGAAUUGCAAUUUUGUCUGCAAUAUAAUCUAUUGACAGCGAUUCUAGUGAUCGUAGUUUCCACAAAUCUGGCACGAAUGAUGUACGGACAUUUCUUUUCAAAUUCAAGUGUUUUAAGUUCUCCAGGAAAUGAAAGGCUGAAUAUUUAAACGACCAGUUUUCAAAUUUCAAAUCAUUGUUGCUAAGAUUUAAAGAGAGUAAAUUUGAGAGUCCUUUGAACGAGUUUUGUCGUACUUGACUAAUCUUAUUGAAAGACAAAUCCAAAGUCGUCAUUAAAGAGUUGCCUACGAAAAUCCCAUCUUGUAUCAUACUGAUAUUAUUAUUUCGGAGAGAUAACUCUUGAAUAUUGCUUGGAAACACAGGUAUACGAAGUAGAUCUUUGCCUGAACAAUCUGCUAUAAGAUUUCGUGAACCAGGAACGUCUUUGUAUAGACAGCAACUGGCAAAUUGACAUGCUUUCCAUUCUUUAAUAUCAUGGAGGAUUGCAUAUUUGCAACUACUUAGUAAAACAAAAGAAGUAACUAACAUGUAAGGAUGGUUGAUGUUCCCUGCAGAGAUAAUAAAUAUGCAGUUUAUAUGCAGUCAAUUUCAAGCUUACAAUUGUACUAAGAAAGAUGCGCUGUUAACAAAAAUAAAAUGCAAUUGCUUAAGCAUGUUAAGAAUGGGAAAUAAGAAUACUAAUUCCCUAAAAGUAAGCAAGAUAAACUAAAUUAUUCAUAAAAAUAAUGCAAAUCACAGUUCGAAAUGAUGUUGACCUCUGUGAACUGAAGAAUGUUUCCUUUUUCAAUCGUAAAAAGAUAAAAUUUUUGUUAAAAUUCAAUGGUAAUCUACAGAAGAAAAGGUCACAACUGUUGAAUAUAUGAGUUUGAGGUGUAUGCUCCAAUAUGGUAAGGUAUGAAUUUUUUGGUAAUGAGACAAUUUCCCAACUUGUUGUGUUUUAUUUCAGUUAUGAUUUAAAAAUACCUCAUCAUAGAUAUAUACCAGGCUUAUGUAGACCAAUUUCAACUUACCGACUUUUGACUCGGAAAAUUUGCAUUUUUUCCACAGGAUACAUUUUCUAUGGCGGGACAAGCAAGAGCAACAUAAAUAAGGAAAUUCGAGAAUUCAAUCGCUACAAGUUUGAGGGUGAAAUGCUUUAUAUGCACGAAUCAUCGGAAAACAGUAAGCAUUCCCCAAAAGCUGCGAUGAUUAUAUAUUUGAUUUUACCUCUUUUGGUCGGUCGUUAUUAACCGAGUAUCAAGAUGUUCUACCACACAGUAGUCAAUCUGUCGAAAAAUUAUAGAAUCCGGCGCCAAAAGUCGGUAAUAUUAAAAUAGUAUAUUGGUAACUCGAGACGUGCGUUUCGUCUGAAUAAGACUCAUCAGUUGCACUUGAAUCAAUUGUAAUGAAAUAGGAUACAAAGUGAAGAGCUGAAAUAUCUAAUCAGUAGUGCCUUAAACGACCAAGAAAAUAGAUGCCAAAGAUUAGAAAAAUCUGUUCUAAAUGGGCUUUUAAUCUCGUUAAAGCCAGAGACCACAAGUUAAAUGGCUGACCCAUGAUCACCUACAGCUUCGUUAUUGUCAUUGAUGCCGGGUUAAAAUAGCUUUAUAAGUGUUACCCAUUUGUUUUGUGCAUAUUGUUGAUGAGGGGUUAAACGCAUUUUGAACGGAAAUGGGAAAUGUAUCAAAGAGACAACAACCCAACCAAAAAAAAAAGAAAUCAGCCGAGGACCACCAAUGGACCUUUAAUACAGCGAGAAAAUCCCGCACCCAGAGGCAUGCUUCAGAUCCCUCAAAUGAAAAUAACGUACUAGUUCAGUGAUAUAAACCGACAUACUAAACUCCGAAAUAUAUUAAAGAAAGUAAAGUUAAAAAUCAAAAAUCAUACAAGACUAACAAAGGCCAGAGUCUUCAGCUUUGGAAGGGCGCAAAAAUGUGGCGGCGUUAAACAUGUUUUUUUGAGAUCUCAACCCUUCCCAUAUACCUCUAUCUAAAAUAGAAAAAUAUAAACGUGCCCAUUUGUAUGAGAGUGUAUGAAUGUUCUCACCUGUAUCCGGGUGUAUGAACGUACUCACUUGUAUCUGAGUUUAUAAAAGUAUUCACCUGUAUCUGAAUGUAUGAAAGUAUUCAACUCUAGAUGAGUGUAUGGAAGUAUUCAACUGCAUCUGAGUGUAUUAAAGUACUUAACUGUAUGUUGGUGUAUAGAAAUACUAUCCUGUAUCUGAGUGUAGGAAAUUACUAACUUGUAUCUGAGUGUAUGAAAGUACUUACCUUUAUCUGAGGGUAUGCAAGUACUCAAAUGUAUCUAAGUUGUAUGAAAGUACUCACUUCUAUCUGAGUGUAUGAAAGUACUCAUCUGUAUCUGAGUGUAUGAAAGUAAAAUCUGAUUGUAAAAAAUUAAUUCAUUCUUUCUCCAUAUGAUAUGAUUUGGUGAAAAUAAGAAAAUAUAUACUUACACAUCUUUUAAUCAUCCUUAGAAAAAAUCAAAUAAAGACGCACAAUUUUAUAGUUAGUAUAAAGUUACCGAACCCGGAACAAGAUAUUUAACUUAAUAUGUAUAUAAAAUGAUUGGUCAUGAAUUUUCCUCAGUUUAAAGUUCACAGACACUGUUUAAUAACGCGUAUAUAAAAGUUAUUUAUAAUCUAAAAAUAAAAAUAAGUUGUAGUCUUCUCAUAUUACGGGUCGUUAGUUACGGCGACUUGAAAUGACUGCAUCUGAUUUACAUAGAAGUGAUAAAUAAUUAAUUAUCUUUUCUCUAUUCUAAUCAAAACAAUUGCUAUUGAAAAAAAGGAAUAGUGCCUUUAUCUAAAAUUUCAUGAUGCAGUAACACCAUCAUGAUCGGAUCUUAGUGUCUGUUUUGUUGGCAAAUUGAUACAUUUCGACUGCUUUGUAUGGCAAUAUGGAUCGCUGUAUUACAAGUUGCUUUUUUUAUUCGGGUUAAAUUACCAAAACCUGAAUGCUUCUGCUUUUUCAAAAGAUAAGAAGGAAGAAAGUAUCAAAAGAGAGAAAUGUAGCUUUUGGAAACUUGACUGUAACUAUUCACAUUACUGUGUGUUUAACUUGUACAAAACAUUGUCUUGUCACGUAAAGGGCGUGUGAACGUGACCAAAUUUAGAAAUACAACAAUUUGAAACGUUACUCAUCUGGCUGGCCAUUUGGAGAACUUCUUGUUAAAUCGUCAAAGUAUUUUUCAAAAACUUGUAUUUUCUAGAGCCAUAAACAGCCCUUAAAUACCCCUGCCCCACGGUUUGAAAAAUAUAAAUGCACUAGAAAAAAUUCAAAUUAGAAAUGAAAUUUUAAGGAGAUAAUAUUAUCAGUACCCUUUCAUUUUAUAUAUUGCUUACUUAAUCAUCGUUAUGUUUAUUGAUUUUGAUUACAGCUGAAAAGGCGUACAGAAUGGGUCAAUUAGUUCGACAACAAAAUAGUCCAACAGGUCUUUGUUUCAUUGGUUUAACAAGUCAUUCUAUAAAUGUGUUUUCAAUGUCAAGAGCCUGCAAUUGGAUAUGGUUGUUGUCUUAUACAUACGUUUUCUGUUGUUAUUGUUUUUGAAUUAACAGCAAAGCCUUUGGUUUACUUGUUAUAAUUGUUUUCACAAUUAUUAUGAUGGAACUUUUUAAAGCGUACCGUAUGGUAUCGAUCUUUUUAGUUUUUAAAGGCCAGUCAGUGAUGUAAAGAUGAUUUUACCUACGUUCCUUGUUUGUUUUGUUUUUUUCAAUUGUUCUGAUAUUGCCAAUCAUCAUUCAAAAUUAAACCAGAAAUAAUUUUAAAACAAUACAUCAGUGUAGAUUAGGUGCGGUUAGUUGAAUUACUAUACAUUUCAAGAUAUGAAUGUAUUGCUGAAUUUAAAUGAAAGAUCUGCAGGUGAUUAACAACGAAUACAGUCUGUAUUCUAGAUAUAAUUUGUGUUUAAGUCGUAUUGUUUGGUUUUUUUUUCUUUUUCUCUGGGGAAGGGGAUUGAUUUAUAAAAUUUUAACGGCGUUCAUUUAGUUUUCAAUCCAGGUUCAACCCACUAUUUCCAACACAACAUCAACACCUUGUUAAAAGUGAAAAGACGAUUGUUUUUCAUCCGUGCCGUUCGUUAAUAUAGUGCAACGUCGAUUUUGUUAGAUUUUGUGGACUUCUCCUAUUUUUAAUUUACCAUGACUAUCUGAAUUUUUGUAAUGCUUUUCUAUCAUUUGCAGGGUUUUAAGUCCCUUUUCCUUUGAUUUUGUUAACUUUAUAAUCAAUCACAUUUAUGUUUUUAAACCUGCGUGUUGUCACAAUUUGUUGUUGUUUUCUCAGAUUGCAGCAAAGUCAUCCUGUUUCCAUAAUAACCCCAUUUUUACCUAAAAUUAUAGAUCUGUGAUUAAUAAUCAUGCAAUCUUAAUCAGCAAAAAUAGCCUAAACGGAUUUUUGCAUAUUAAAAAGAAUCAUUGAAAAUCAAACCGAUAUAUUUAAUUCCGGCCCGUGUUACACAUGUAGACAUAUAUUUGUAUAUCUCACCUGGUAUUACUAUUGAUUAAAUUGGUGGAAAACUGCCUUAUUCAUUUGUUAUUUUACAUUAGGGAUAGAGACGUCGUUCAUAUUCAAUUACAAGUUAAACCCAUUUGCAUUGUAACUAUGUUUCUUUUAUAAUUACUGAAGAAAAAACAUAUUUAAUGACACAAGAUACAAUGAUAUCUAUUAAAUUACCAUCCUUGGGUCUGUUGUAAAACGGUUUUAAGUCAUGCGUCAAAUCGAUAUUUAAAUCUAAUAUAUAUUACCUGUUCAAUGACGAAGUGUAAAAUAGUUUUGUAAUCAAUUGUUGUUUCCACAUCAACCGAUUUUUAUACAUGUUUUUAUGAUAUCGAAAGAACAGAAAUCUUAAUUAAAAAGUCAAUUGUUCAUGAACAAUUGAAUGGUCUUUCCUUUUUUCUUUUAUUAAUUGCCUUCUUAGUUAAAAAUAUAUGGUUUCUAAGGACUUUUAUGGUCAUAAGUGGUUGCUUAGGGCAAAAACCAUUCCUAAGGAUAAAUAUAUUAAAAUAAGUUAUUAAAAAUGUCAUAUGUACUAUUCAUAGUAUUUAAAGUUAAAAAAAAAGUGAUUGCUAAGGACUUGUAUGUCGUUGCUAGGGACAAAAAUGUCAUUUCCAGAAAUAAAAAUGUCAUAUUUAUAUUAUUCAUAGCCUUCUAAGUUCAAAAAUAUAUGUUUGCUAUGGUCACGUAUGGUGUUUUAUGUCGUUGCUAGGGACUUGACCUCUGACCUUGACCUAACUUUGUAGAUCUUAUUAUGCUGAUAAUUUUUGCAAUUCAAAGUUUCUUUCUAUCUCUAACUUUUGAGUUGUAAGCAAACAAUCAUCAUUUCGGACCCCAAAAACAGUUUUGGUGCCCUAGUUCCAUAACAGUUGGUCCAAUGAUUUUCAACUCAACAUAACAAAUGUAGAUCUCGACAAGACACAUAUUUUCUCCGUUACAUUUUAUCAGCCAUCUUUUACGGUUAUUUAGUAAAUCUGAUAACAAGCUAAGGUCAAAAUCUAGGUCAUGACCUUGACCUUUGACCUUAGGUCAAUUUUCAUAUUCAUGUGAAUUGAUGAUCAUUUGUGAUGAUCCUAGGUAGCUACAACUUACAGUUUUUGAGUUUGUUAAUUUUAAUUUUCAAGGGGGGCAUAACCCUACCAAUGAGUCGUUGAAUCUUUUCAAUUCAAAUGUAACGAAGCACCAAAGUCUGUUCCUGAACAAAUUCCACCCUUUGUUUUUUGUCUACCUAUUAUGGUUAUGGAGUUAGAAUGAUAACAAGUUUUUCGGUGUUAGGGGAGAUAACCCCUAUAAAGGAAAUGUUACGGGGUCGUGCCCUCACCACAAGAUAGCUUUUGGUCAACCGAUACUAGAUACCUAAUAUCAUUUCAACAUGUCGCGUACUUUUUUUGGGAAAUUUCGUUAAAGUUUGGCGGAAAGAAUAAUAAUAAUAAUAAUAAUUAAACUGUCAAUUGUUCUUGAACAAUUGAGAGGUCUUUCCUUUUUUAAUGUAAAAUACAUGUUCCAACAGACGUAGAAUGUAUUGAAAAGGUCAAGGUCAACCUUAAAAAGCUCGAAAACACAACUAAAAUCCUUUAAUAAGGUUAAAAACACUAAAUUCGCUAUCUGGACAUGACCUUGACCUUUGACCUUUUGACCUUUGUCAAGGUCAUUGGUCCCCAUGCCAUUACUUGAAGACCCAAGGUCUAGGACCUUUGGUUAUAUAGUAAAGCUGAUUUGUCUUUUCAAAACCUAAAAAGGGGUUAUGCCCUUAUAGAAAGGUCAAAUCUCUUUGAUCAAAUGUAACAAAGUUGCGCAUAAUGACCAAACAUUUUCCACAUUUAAAACUUCUUAAUAGAAUGGUUUCUGAGAUUAUCCCAUAACAAGCUGUUAGGUCAGAGGUCAAGUCAACAUACAAAUUUGACUUGAGAUAUUUUUUAAAAUACAUGAAUGAUGAUGAUUGGUGAAGUCCUAUGUGUCUACGACUUACGUUUCUGAGUUUUGGUGGCCAACCGACACCGGUUAAUUUUCAUAGGGGCAUAACUCUACCAAUGAGUCGUUGAAUCUUUUCGAUCCAAAUGUAACGAAGAACCCGGGUCUGGUCCUGAACAAAUUUCACCCUUCAUUUUUUUUCUACCUAUUACGGUUACGGGUGUUGGAACGAUAACAAGUUUUUGGGUUUUCGGAGGGAUUACUCCGAACGACAAAAUAUUUCACUCCAGGGUGAGUUCCGGAUAGGUAUUCAUGACACCAAUACAAAGUGUGAAACAUGAAAGCGACAUGGUUCACGUUACGGAGGGAAAUUUUGUCAAAGUUUGGCGGAACAGAAGAAUAAUAAUCAGAAGAAAUACAGUAAGGUCUUUCCUUUAGUAAAGGAAAGACUUAAUUAAAACCAAUUGUUCAGAGAACAAUUGAAGGUCUUUCCAUCAAAACAAUGUGUUUUGAUAUGAAAGUUGUGAAACUAAGUUUAAAAUGUCAUUUCAAUCGUCAAAUGAUAGCUUCUAGUACGCUGAUUCCAAAAAUAUUUGGUUUCCAUACAUUUUUUUUAAAAUAAGGGAGAUAAUUUGUUACUUCCGGUUUGAAAAAUGUUACUUACGAUUAUAUUUGAAUAAUUUUUACUUGACACUGAUUCCAAAAUAUUGGUUCUAUAUACUUUUAUAUUAAUAAAGUACAAAAAAAUAGCUACUUCCGGUUUACAAAAGGUCACUUCCGGUUUUUUCUUUCAGGUUAAAUGGUUUGAUACCUUUUCCAAAAGUUUCAUAGCUUUUCAUGUAUACAUGUAAAUAAAAGCAAAGGUCAAAAUCAGAACGUCAAAUUAAGCUAUGACCUUGAGAUCAAUUUCAAGGUCAUGAACUAAGGACCUCAAAUCAAAAGACCAUAGGUCUUAAUUAUAUUUGGUUAAUGACUUAUAUCACCAAACACGUAUUUUUAAAUACAAGAGGGGAGAAAACUCCCUUUUACAUUCAACGUGCCCUUGCAAUAAAAAUUUAUGUCUUACGACAUGUCGCAACUACAAAUUUAGUAAAAAUAAUUUGUUGAUAUCUUAUACGGUCUUUGGAUAUAAGUGAAAAUAAGCCAAAUUCAAAUAUUAGAAUAUGACCUUGACCUUUGACCUUGACCUAAUUUUCAUUUUCUUGGACCAAGGACCUCAAAUCAAAUGAUCCUAGGUCUCUAUCACUUAUGGUUUAUAAGAUAGAAAUGCAUAUCACUUAUAUCAGAUGCAUAAGGGAAAUAACUCUCAUAUGGAGCGGUCAUAUUGCUUCGGUCAAAAUAGAACAAAUCAUGCAAAGGAUUUAACGAGCAAUUUUGUAAAAUAAAUUUGUCAUUAUCUUUUACGGUUGCGAAGGAGUUGUGAGCACAAGGAAAACAGUGUUUGGGGAGAUAACUCCUACAAAGAAAAGUAUUCGGUUAAGCAGGGUAAAUUUCAAAAGCGCAUAAACUGUUCGAUAUCAUAUACCAAAUAUCAAAGCGACAUAUUGCGAAACAAAUGUUUAUCGCAAGAACAAAAUUAGGCGGAAGAAAAAAAAAAAUAAUCAGAAGAAAAACAAUAGGUCUUUCCACAGAAAAGUGGAAAGACCUAAUAAUAAUAAUAAUCAGAAGAAAUAUAGUAAGGUCUUUCCUUAUAGAAAAAGGAAAGACCUUAAUUAGAACAUGGACGAACGUCUAGCUAGGUAUUCCUCAUUCAUGCCUUAUGUAUUUUAUAAACCAGUUUUUUCUUCGUCUUUUAUUUCUUAGCACAUUGACCUAUUUUCUUAUUUCUUUAUUAUUUUUUGUUUUGUUUUAUAUCGGUACUCUUUAUCCUCAAUGAGUUCAAAUCCAUCAAAUCAUUACUCCUUUUGUAGCAUGCAUAAAUACUUCUGCUUUAAAAAAAACACACAUAAAUGGGGCGGAGUUGUAUAGUUUAAUUUAAGGUAUAAGUCACAGUUGGGUAUUUGCAAACAAUUUACACAUUGUGAAAUAGGUGCUUAGAUUCGAUGUAUAAAUAAUUAUUACAAAAAGAUUCCCGAAACAAAAAUAGACAAAUAAGAAAAACAUUUCAUUCAUUUAUGGCUACAUUUCGGGAAAGGGUUUUAUACUUUCAUUGAAACGUUGGUAUACUUUAUGACAAAGAUAACAAAAUAACCCGGUCUACCAACAUUCGUCCAAUAUUUGAUUAGCUGUUUGUUGCUAAACGUCCAGUGGCAAUAAGUUUAUCCAUAUUAAGGACGAGAACAAAUUGAGAAUAAAUAUGAUAAGUAGGUUCUGUUAUAGAGGCGUCCAGGAUAAAGGUCGGAGAAAUAUAGUAUGCCAUGAGAAAUGAGGAUAUAUUGGAUAGAUACAGAAAUGUAGCCUUGCAACUGGUUAACAACGGACCAACAAAGAGUUGUUGAAAGGGUUCUUAACGUGAAAACAGUGAGGCACUCUCUUUACAAAAGGCAUCGAAUUGAACGUACUCAUUCUGGCAGUAAGUGGCUGCACAUUUGUACAUCCCACACGGCCAAUCUGACGCCCCACUUUGGCGAAGGUUUUACUGCUGUUUUGGGGAAGAUUAAUGGUGACCAUACUUCUAUUCAUCAGUCACCCUUAGGGAGUCGAUAUUUGUGUAUCAGUUUGGAACGUACCAGUCGACUAUAAUACAUUUGUCAACAAUUAUUUUUUAUAUGAUACCUUUUUUGGCAUUCAGUUCUGUACCAAUCUAUAUAAUAUACCUACAUGACACUGAAGUUUUAAAUUUCAGAAAUGUCACAUCUGUGGAGAAUUAGAUAGUCAGCAGUGGUUUGGUGUUUAAAAUUUGACGAAGCAUUUUGUGUUAACUGCAAAGAACACCACUAUUAAUAAAAAAUGGUCAACAGACGCUAUAAAGAGAGUUAUGAAUGAAUCUUUCAGUUGAAAUAGAAUGUGAUAUAAACGUUCAUUUGAUUUUUUACAGAGUUAUCUCUCUGUAGCGUUGUCUACCACCAUAAUACGAGGGUUUUUUUAAUCAGAUAGCAUAUAUUGUACUUACACAUUGUCAGGUUUGCUAAAAAUACCAACAAGAAAUAAAAUUCAACACAAGAUUCUUUGGAAAGAAUAAAACAACUGCACUCGGAAGUACAAUCAUAUUAAAAUAAACUGUUUAAAAAUUCCAACAUUGUAAGUGUUAGAAUAGAUUAUCGUUGGUCAUCUAAACGAGAUUGAUUUUCUCGCUUGAGCUGGUACAGCGAAAGUGAGAAAAGCAAUCAGUUGAGAUGACCAAUGAAAUCUGUUUAUCGCAACUAUGAGGACGUUGUCAAUUUCAUGUCAAUUUCGUUAUCAACGCCACGUGGCCUCCUUUUCUAGCGAUAAUUUUUCCAUCUCAAAGCGAGACGCAUGAUAUGAAAAUUAUCACAAAAAAAGAUCAAAAGAAAAAUGCACAAAAUAGCGAUAAUAUCGAAUACACAAAGUGCGUGUUUCCAAAGGGAGUAUGACAAUUUAUAACAUGAAAAAAAAAAAUGUAGCACACAAUUCUUUAGAAAUUGUAAUGAGACUACACCCGGAAGAAGAUAUUGAUAUAAGACGUCAAUUACCCCAAAAACCCAAAUCGUAGGUGUUAAAAUGUUGCAUACAAAGAAGGUGUAAAUAAGAGAAGUAAGGUUAAACAGGCUACAUAUAACAGAAAUAAAAUCCAACACACGAUACAAAGUUUAUCAUUGUGUAAAAUGUUUAAACCCGGGUGAGAAUAUGGAUUUAGACACCAAAUCUAUUAAUAAUCACAUAAUAGGAGGAUAGUUCCGAAUAUACACGAAAUGAUGAACCAACAACGUGAACAAGUUGUUAAUGAUUAAAAAAGGACGAAAUGUACACUUGAAUUAUAUAAUGACUAUAGUGUGUGAUAACAUUGUGUGAGGGAAUACGACGUUUGAUGUACCACUGUUUACUCCAGUGCAUUUUAUGACAAUACCACUGGAUCAAUCAGAAUUAUUUUUUUGCAGUGUUUUAAGAAAUGAUUUUGCUUUGUUGUCGCGUAUUAUUUGUGAAACAUUCAAUGUUUUAAAAAGGCGAAUUUUCUUUAUAAAGUCAAUGAUUAUGUUGACUUUUGAAGGCCAAACUUUCUACAGCCUUAAAUACGCUAAUGAAAGAUCCAAAAACUAUACCAAUACAUAACGACAUGUUUAUGAAAUUAUAACAAAUCUAUUGGUUAACAAAUUUUUACUAGUUAUUGCAAAAUAAUGAACUUAAUAUAUCUGACAUUUUCUCCCUACCCAGUUUACCCCUAUACAUUUUCAUGAUGUGGACUGGUCAUUGUUAUUGAAUCGUAGGCAGUUUGAUUGGAUUAAGUUGUUAUUAGUUUACCUUCAAAAUUGUUUAUGCUUUUCAUACAUGACUAUUGAUUAAUUAGAACGUGCAUGAAUGUGUACGGUAACUAAAAUGACCUUCAAACUGGACACUGGACGAGUCAAUAUUAUGUUUUAUCAAUGAAAGUUAAGGUAUGAAAGGUAAGAAUUGCCACUUAUUCGAUUUUCACAAAUUUUCGGAAUAUACAGUUGAAAGGUUAUUUUUUUAAAGCCUAAUGUGAAAAGUAAAGAGAAAGUUUACAAAUAAUACGUUUUGUUCCAUUAAACAAGUCAUUUUCGUAAGAGAAAUACCGAAAUAUAUUUUACGCACGACUACAGCAGGUAAAAUUAUAAUUUAUCAUAAUAAAAAAAAGCAUUUUUCAGUCUCAUUGGAAUAUGUUGAUAACAAUUAAUCCCAAACUUAAGAAGUAAGUAACUAAAGUCAAAAUAUGUCCGAUCUGCCUAUUUCUGCACAUCAAAAGUCAAUACGAUCGUUUUAAAGUCAAUUUCGUCUACCUCACAAAAUCUUGUUAGGCACUAUAGUUAAUAGUUUGUUGACCUCUAUAUAUAUUUGAUCGUUAGGAUAUCUUUUCAAUUAGACCAAUAAUGUGUAUCCUUUAAGUCAUAUAGACAGAAAUCACUGUACCUGCUCAAAUCGCAGUUAGAGAGAUUAAAUGGCUCAGGUUUAAAUACUUGUAAACAAAUUUUACAAAUGACAAUAAAAAAUGAUUCAACAGAAAAUUUCUCACCUGGCAAUACUGUAUUUUCUGUUUCAAAAUAUAGGAAAUAAGAAAGUAUCAAAUAGAAUAGCUCUAGUUAGCAGAACUGUUAUAUGUUAUAUUGUGUUAUAUUUUCACGACGUAUGGUCUAUAUAAAGGGGAAAUAAUAUUUAACCUUCACAGCAGAGAUGGGUCCGAUUACUUUCAAUGUAAUUGAUUAAAUUACAAUUACUUUGUCAUUUGUACGAUUAAAUUAAAUUAAUGAUUACAUCAUUUCUGAAAGUAUCUGAUUAAAUUAAUGAUUACAUUGGCAAAGUAAUCAUGAUUACAUCUGAUUACAAUGAAUUUAAAAAACAAAACAUUUUGAAUGAUGUGAAUGAUAAACGUUCAAUAUAACUAUAGAAUUUUGAGAAAGUAUUUUAUAUGGUUCAAUUAUAAAAUGAUAACUUCAAAUUAAACUUCAUCUAUUUAAAUAAACACCAAAUUUAACUUCAUAUAUAUACAUUACACUGUAUCACCAAUGAUCUCUGAAUUAUUUUGAAUUAAAUUUAAUAAAGAUAUAUCAUAAGAGUUUUUUGUUUGUCUUCUGACCUCUUUCAUACUUUAUAUGUAUUCCAAGUUGCAGUUUAUGGAAGUUUAAAUAUGAAUGAAAUAAAGUUACUGGUUUAAAACUAUGUUUUAAUAGAAAUGUUUAACCAAAUUGUAAACAAUAUGCAAGUACUAAAAAUCAUUGCAUUUUACAUGUCCAGUCCAAUUUUUUAAAAUUCUAAACAACAUAUUUGUCCACCUUUUAAUUUAGUUUGUGCUAAUUAGAUAAAUUUUCAUGUUUGAUUUAACUUUUAUCAUAUAUAUUUCUCUACUGCUAUACUCAAUUGGUAAUUGAAAUAAAAACAAACCUUAAUUAGUCUCCUUCCUGUCAAUUCAAAGUUGACAAAAAUCACAAAAAUUAACAAAAGAUUAUAAUUCAGGGUUAAAGAAAAGUAUUACUUGAAUAUAUAACAGUUAUUAUCAAAUAUUAAUAUGAAGAUCAUUAUAAAACAAUGAAUAUACAUGUAUGUACAAUAUCUUUUAUCAAGAUAAUAGGUAUAUAAUUGUAUUAUAUGUCUCUGCUUAGGCUAAUGAUGACUUUUCAAUACUGUAACAGUUUAUUUUUUACUGAAGUAGACAUGCUUAAAGUAACCAAACCAUUUUAGUAUGUUAAAAAUUUAUCAAAUAUGAAUAACAAAGAGGUUCAUUUAAUGACCAAAAACACAAUUUUAGAUUUUUUUUUCAUUGUAAUCAGAAUGUAAUCAAAAAGUAAUCAUAAUUACAGGGUAUUUUGAAAAGUAAUUGAUUAAAUUAAAUUACAUGUAAUCAGACUUUUCAGGCUGAUUAAUGAUUACACUGAUUACUUGAAAAAUUGUAAUCAAUGACAGCUGAUUAACGAUUACAAUUACAAUUACCCCAAGUCUGCUUCACAGGCCAUUUUUAUCACAUAUUACUUUUGUUGUUUGGAAUUUUUUUACAUGAUUAUGAAUUGUAAAAAGAUGCAAGAUUAGCCUUAUUGCGCCUGACAGUUCCUUAUUUGUUUAACUCAUUGUAUAAGUAUAUGUCCUAAAUAAACUCAUCAUAGAUAAGCCAGAGUAUGUUAUUCGUUGUUUGUCGUUGAUUUCCGUUUUUCGUUAAUUUCCGUUUGUCGUUGGUUUCCAUUUGUCGUUGGUUUCCAUUUGUCGUUGGUUUUCGUUUGUCGUUGAUUUCCGUUUGUCGAAUAUGAUUUUCCUCAUUUUUUUCAUAGAUCAUGUUGUUUGAUUUUUAUUCGCUUGAAUUGACAAAAAACAAAAUAUAUUGUAAGUGUUAUUUUGGAAUAUUCGAACUUUGAAAAAAGAUCAGCUUUGCAGAAUUUCCUUUCAAAGUAUCAUUUUAACAGCCAAGUAUCACACACAACUAUCAAACGCUCUAAUAUCUUAUAAGUAUAUUACACUCUUUCGAUUAAAUACUAUUUUUCUUACAAUAAAUUAAUUUAAAUUUGAUUUAGGGAUACAACAUUUUUUUCCAUAAUUGUGUAAUGGUUCGUGUUCAAUGUUCUAAAAUCCCAUAUAUAAAUGUAUAGAAUCUUUAUUAACUGGUCAUACGGCCAAACUUAUAUAAUAUCGAUAAAACCCGUCAUUAACUUCCUUAUCUCAAAUAGCAUGAAUACAGGAUAGAAUGUUCAUUUAAUUUAUUAUGUUUAUAGUCAGUUUAAAGAUAAAUAUGUGGCGGCGUAACAUUUGUAUUUUCUUCUAAAGAAAUAUAAAAGGAAACAUGAUCAGUCAUUUAUACAUGAUCUGUAUAAAAUGACAUAAAAUCCGUAAGAAAAUCGUUUGUCGUGUAUAAAUUUUAAGUUUCGGCGCUCUUUUUAAUAGAAAUUUUAUUGAAUGCCUUUUUAUUAUUGAACUAAGGAACGUUAACAUGUUAACAUAAACAGUUCUAUGUUUCAUUGGUUUAACAAGUCAUUCUUUAAAUGCGUGUCCAAAGUCAAGAGCCUGUAAUUGGAUAUGGUUGUUGUCUGAUACAUACGUUUUCUAUUGAUUGUUUUAGAAUUUACAGCAAAGCCGUUGGUUUACUUGUAAUUAAUUAUUUCUCAUUUAUCAUGACGGAACCUUUUAAAAUGUACCUUAUGGUAUUGAUUUUGUUAAUUUUUAAAAGCCAGUCAGUGAUGUAAAGAUGAUUUAACCUACGUUCCUUGUUUUUUUUUUCAAUUGUUCUCAUAUUGCCAAUCAUCAGUGCAAAUUUAAAUUUAGAUAAUCUUAAAACAAUUCAUCAGUGUAGAUUAUUUUCAUGAAAGGAUGCGGUUAGUUGAAUUACUAUUCAUUUCAUAAUGUGAAUGCAUUGUUGAAUUUAACUGAAAUAUCUGCAUGUGACAAAACAAUAAUAAAGUCCGUAUUCUAGAUAUAAUUUGUGUUUAAGUCGUGUUGUUUUUAUUUUUUCCUUUUUCUAUGGGGAGGGGGAUUAAUUUUGAAAUUUUAAACCGUGUUCAUUUAGUUUUCCACCCAGGUUCAACCCACAAAAAAAAAAACAUUUAAAACCUUGUUAAAGUCAAAAGACGAUUGUUUUUCGUUCAUUAAUAUAGUGGAGCGUCGAAUUUGUUAGAUUUUGUAGACUUCUCCUAUUUUGAAUUUGCCUUCAAGUUGACAAUCUGAAUUUUUGUUAAUACUUUUCAAUCAUUUGCAGGGUUUUAAGUCCAUUUCCUUUGUUUUUGUUUACUUUUUAAUCAAUCACAAUUAUGUUUUAAAACGUGUUUUUAGUCACAAUUUGUUGUUGGUUUCUCAGAUAUCCUGUUUCCAUAAAAAUAUGAAAAAGAAGAUGUGGUAUGAUUGCCAAUGAGACAACUAUCCACAAAAGAUGAUAAUAGAAUAAGUAGACAGCUCUCUUACAAGCAAAAAACCCCUAACUGUAAAAAUAACCCCAUUUUACCUAACAUUAGAAAUCUGUAAUUAAUAAUCAUGCAAUCUCAAUCAGCAAAAAUAGCCUAAACAGAGUUUUGAGAUUAAAAAGAAAAAAUAUAUCUGUAUGAUUUGGAUCAUUGAAAAUCAAACCUAUAUAUUGAAUACAGGUCCGUGUUACACAUUUAAGCAUAUAUUUGUAUAUCUCACCUGUUAUUACUAUUGAUUAAAUUGGUUGUAAACUGCCUUAUUCAUUUGUUAUUUUACAUUCGGGAUAAAGACGUCGUUCAUAUUCAAUUACAAAUUAUCCAUUUUGCAUUGUAACUAUUUUUCUUCUAUAAUUACAGAAAGAAAAAAAAAACAUAUUUUAUUACAAGAGAUACAAUAAUAUCUGUUAAAUCCUUAACCUUGGGUCAGUUGUAAAACGGCUUUGAGUCAUGCGUUAAAUCGAUAUUUAAAUCUAAUAUAUAUUACCUGUUCAAGGACGAAGUGUAAAGUCAUUUCGCAAUCAAUUGUUUCCACAUCAAUGGAUUUUUACACAUGUUUUUAUAAUAUCUAAAGAAUGUAAAUCUUAAUCACAACAUGCACGAACGUCUAGCUAGGUUUUCCUCAUUCAUGCCUUAUGUAUUUUAUAACCCGGUUUCUCUUCGUUCUUUAUUUUUAUGCACAUUGCCCUAUUUUCUUUAUUGCUUUAUUAUUUUUUUGUUUUGUUUUAUAUCGUUUCUCUUUAUUUUCAAUAAGUUCAAAUCCGUCAGUCAUUAUUCUUGUUGUAGCAUGCACAUAUGAAUGAGGCGCAGUUGUAUAGUUUAAUUUAAGUUAUAAGUCAAAGAAAAAUUAAAUAUAUGCAGUAUUUGAAAUUUACAUUUAUCACCGAUUGACUACAGUUGGAUAUUUGCCAACAAUUUACACAUCGUGAAAUAGGUGCUUAGAUUCGGUAUGUAAAUAAUUACUACAAAAAGAUUCACGAACGAAAAAUAAGAUAAAAGGAAAAAAACUUCCAAUCAUUCAUGGUUACAUUUCGGGAAAGGGUUUAAUAAUUUCAUUGGAACGUUGAUAUAAUGUUUGACGAAGAUAACAAAAUAAACCGGUCUACCAACAUUCGUCCAAUAUUUUUGAUUGAUUGUUGGUUGCUUAACGUCCAGUGGCAAAUAGUUCAUACAUAUUUAGGACGAGAACAAAUUGAGAAUAAAUAUAAUAGGUAGGUUCUGUUACAGAGGCGUUAUGGAUUAGGGUCUGAGAAAUUAAGUUUACCACGAGAAAUGCGGGUGUAUUGGAUAGAGACAGAAAUGUAGCCUUGCAAAAGAGGGACGAAAGAUACCAAAGGGACAGUCAAACUCAUAAAUUUAAAACAAACUGACAACACCAUGGGUAAAAAUGAAAAAGACAAACAAACAACAGCACACAUGACACAACAUAGAAAACUAAAGAAUAAACAACACGAACCCCACCAAAAAACUAGGGGUAAUCUCAGGUGCUCUGGAAGGGUAAGCAUAUCCUGCUCCACAUACGGCACCCGUCAACUGGUCACAUACGGACCCACAAAGAGUUGUUGAAAGUGUUUUUAACGUGCAAAUGGUGUGUCAAUUUCUUUAGAAGAGUAUCGGAUUGAACGUACCCAUUCUUACAGUGCGUGGCUGCACAUUUAUACAUCCAACAUGCCCAAACUGACACCCCACUUUGACAAAGGUUUUACUGCUGUUUGGAGAAAGACCAAUGGUGACCGUACUUCUAUUCAUCAAUCACCCUUGGGUGGUCGAUAUUUGUGUAUCAGUUUGGAACGUACCAGUCGACUAUAAUACAUUUGUCAACAAUUAUUUUUUAUAUGAGACCUUUUUUGGCAUUCGGUUCUGUAUCAAUUUACAUAACAUACGUACACGACAUUGAAGUUUUAAAUUUCAUAAAUGUAACAUUUAAUCAAAAGGUACCAGAUAGCACAAAAUUGAACCAACUGUUGAUUAUUAGAAAUCACCUUGAUAAGAAUUCAAUAGGCCAAAUUGGUGCUUACCAUUAAAAGAUAUAUCAGAUACUUUGCAAAUGCACGACCAACUUCGAUUCUCGAACAUAAACUAACACGUAAAACAUGUUGGUGUUUAGUACAGACACAGACACAUCGUAUCGGUCACCAUAAUAUCCAAAGUAUCUAUUUCAGCCGUUCAUCGUUAAAGAAUCUUUUGAAUCAGUAUGUGUGUCACACGCGCAUUCUGGAUUUCUUUUUUGUUGAUACAAAUUGAUGUGGAUUAUGGAAUGAUUGUUAUUUCGUGGAUAUGUGAUACACGUCUAUAAAAUUAUAUGUCGUUGAUUAUUUAAUUCAAUGUAAACUUAAACUCAACAAAUAUAUGAAUAUCGUUAUCAAAAAUAAAAAAAAAUAAAUAUUAUUUUUCCCAAGGCACUGUAAAUUUCUUUUCCACUGAUGAGUUUGAAAAUUCUCUUGGCUUCUUAUUCUACGGUUUAUAUGUUUUAAAUGGACUAGUAUAUUAUUCAUAUAUGCGUUUCGCUGUGAUUUUUCGUCAACUAAAAAUAUCGCUCUAAACUGACAAUCUAAAAAAUGGAUAUACAUGCGUUGAUACAAAAUGAUCGAUUGCUAUUCAACUUCAUUAUUUAUUUGAUCUUUGAACCUCGUUGGCAUGUCCAUAUUCCGACCUGGCAUUACUGUGCAUUUAAGCAUGAUCUACAGCUACUGAGAACGAUCAAUAUAACAAUACCAAUAAAGGUCCUUAUCUAAUUUAUUGUCAAAAGUUAGAAGGUGUAGUUUUAACUAGUUUGUAUCAUAACAGGCUACCAACGGGAUAUAAAUCUCGUUCGAAUAUCUGCCUAGUAGUUUUGAACAAAUGAAGAUCAUCUUAACUUAUCAACUUAAAUGAUGGGGAAAAAAAACAAAAUAUUUGCUAAUCUUUUUUUCAAAUUUUAAAUAAAAUUGAGAAUGGAAAUGGGGAAUGUGCCAAAGAGACAACAACCCGACCAAAGAAAAAAACAACAGCAGAAGGUCACCAACAGGUCUUCAAUGUAGCGAGAAAUUUCCGCACCCGGAAGCGUCCUUCAGCUGGCCCCUAAACAAAUAUAUACUCUUUCAGUGAUAAUGAACGCCAUACUAAUUUCCAAAUUGUACACAAGAAACUAAAAUCAAAAUAAUACAAGACUAACAAAGGCCAGAGGCUCCUUACUUGGGACAGGCGCAAAAAUGUGGCAGGGUUAAACAUGUUUGUGAGAUCUCAACCCUCCCCCUAUACCUCUAGCCAGUGUAGAAAAGUAAACACAUAACAAUACGCACAUUAAGGUUCAGUUCAAGAGAAGUCCGAGUCUGAUGUCAGAAGAUGUAACCAACGAAAAUAAAAAAAUGACAAUAAUACAUAAAUAACAACAGAAUUACUAACAGUAACUGACAUCUUUAAAGCACGUUAUGUAUUUAGUUUUAUAUACAUGUAUGUGGUUAGUAUGACAAAAUUAUAACAUAAAUGGUUUACUGACAUGAAAAGGAAAUCAAGUAUUUAUAUUUGCUAAAGCAAUAGUUUAUCUUGAAAAGACGUAGUAAUAAUAUUUACAUAUUGUCUCUAAACAACACAUCUAAUUAAACACAAAUAAAAAUCCAAAUGAAUACCGGAAGUCCUUGUACAUAAUUAACGAUACAUGCAUGGCGUUAAAUAGAGGACAUAUUCACUAAUAAGAUUUGAUUCCCCUUAAAGCUGUUCCCAAAAGACAACGUCACCGUACUCAUCAUCUGGAUACUCAAUAUAUGAUUGACAAUGAACCAGUUCCAGUAUUUGAAGUGGAAGAUCGCAAGCAGAAAUUUGCCCGUAAAAUACUAGGAAAAGAAUGUUCUCACAAUUGAGUUCAUAUAUACUCUCCAUUUUAGCCAUAUUAUAUUCGAACUACACCAGUACGAAGCUAGAUAUUUUGAAGACAUUAUGACAAUUGUUUUUCGGCUGUUAUGAAUUGCGGAUGAAAUGUUCGUGGCGAUAUCAUUACCAGGAAGGAAAUUACGCCUAUGCAAGCACAAUUGAACCCCGCCAUAUUUCUUUAAUUUGUGAAGAAGUGCUUUGUGGACAAAUGUAUGAUCUUCGUUGGCAUAUAACACGAAAGCAUCAUACAUAUAUAGUCUUUCAUCUUUGUUGACGGAUUUAAGUUCGGGGUCAUGCCAUUUGACUUUCACCAUGUAGUCAAAAUAGCGUAGUUUCCAUCUAUAUCUGUAAACAAUACCACCACAAAGUAUAAAAAAACAUUAAAAUUCCUGUCGUUACUCCAAUUAUUAAACCUUCAUAUGACAUACAUUCCUUUUGUAUUCUUUCGUAAACUUCGCUAGGGUUUCGAAGAAGACUGACUGUGUUUUGUGAUGUCUUACAUUCGUAUUCUUCACGAAUCUGAAGAUAAGUAGGUGUGUCAAUUAUCCAUUUGACAAAAGACAGAGAAUCACAAUACAUACAAGAUUAUUUCCAAUAAGAUCGACGGUUAGAUUUGUGUUCAUUUUGGCUAUUAAGUCCAAUCCGUUGAUGGCAUAUUUACUCAGCAUAGAUAUUCUAUUUUUUCUUAAAUUCAAAAAAAUGGGCUUUUUCAUAUGAGAAAUUUUAAAGUUGAUAUCAUCAAUAAUAUUUUCACUAAGGUCUAAUCUUCCUAGAUGUUCUUGCUUUUUAAAUAACAGAUUUGGUAUAUGUGAUAUUUGAUUUUUAAAGAGAUUAAUGCGAACUACGUUCGAAGAUUCUGAAAUAUUUCUCCAUUGACAUCAAUUGGAAGAAUGAGUCCCAACAGAUUUUUUUAUAAUAGUAAAUAUCUUAAGUUGAUAAUAUCUUCGCUGAAAAAUAUCUUUGAAACAUUAUAGCAAAAAUUUGACGAUAAGUCUAAAAAUGUCAUGUUAUUUACGUUAGUUAUAGGGCUGUCCAUGUGUGCAAGAUAUUGUCACUUAAAUUAAGAUUUGUAAAUUCAUUUGUGAUGAAUCCGAAUUUUGGUAUUUCAAAUUUCAUUUUGCUUGACGUAAGUGACAUUUUUCGUAGUUUUCUUGGUACUGGCAGUCGGGCAACAAAAUGAUCAAACUUCUCUAUCUGGAAAUCAAAGCGUGAACGUAAAUUAGACAACCAGUAAUUUUCAGAAUUCAUUAUAUCUGAUUGAGAAUCACAUGUCUCUAUGUAGCUUGUGAGAACAUUAUGUGGAGAGGAAAUUUCUAAAAAUCUAAAAUGUUAUUGGUAGUCUAACUAAAUCAAAUAGAUAUUUGCCGAAGGAAAAAGCGUUGUCCCUUAUAUUCACACUUUCAAAUGAUUUUGGAAAGUACUUUGCGGCCCCAUAUUCUACUCUUUGAAUACGGUUUCCAGCGGCUUCAAAUCUAGCAAGAGAUGUGUUUCUUAAAUUCCGAAUGUGGGAAGUCUUCAGUAGUGUGCUCAUUUCGAAAGUACUAUGAAUAUAGUUUACCUUAAGGAUUUUGAUUGCGGUAUAUUGUAAAUCUGUGGUUAUAUUUUCAAGCCUUGCGAACCUCAAACAAGUAUUUAAAGAGACAUCAAGCUCCGAAAUAUUUUUCAAACUUUCCAAAAAAUGAAAGGCAGAACUUUCAAAUGACAUGUUUUCAUAUUUUAAAUUUUUUAAAAAGACAGAUCCAAAAACUUCAAUAUAUAAUUUUCCUCGAAAACCCCAUCUUGUAUUGUACUGAUUGCACUCUUUUGCAGCAAUAAAUCUUGAAGAUUGUUUUGUAAUCUAAGUAUAAGAAGAACAAUCCGAUAGACGUUCUUCUGAAUAAUGAAUAUUUUUGCAAAUACAGGAACUAGCAAACUGACAUUCUGUCUAUUCCUUCAUCUAAUGGACUCUGUUGUUCAUGUUGUUGUCACAAAUAGCUUGAAGUAUGAAAGCAGCAACCAGGAAAUAAGAACGUUUGAUGGUACCUACGAAGAAGAUAUGCAUAAUUAUGAUUUUGAAUUGUCUUGAAUAGAUGUGAUGUUAAUAAUAAAUAAAACUAAUAUGCGUUAUCAAUGGUUACGAAGGAAAAAAAGCUAGAAAAAAUAAUUGAAUGCAAAUGUUUAGGCUAAACUAGUUAAUUUAAACAUGCAAACCAUAUAGUUUUGAUGUUGAUCGAGCGAUAUGACGCUUGUACGGUAGUGUCACCUAUAUUCGUGGAUAUAAGACUAUUCAAACGGAAUACGGUAAAACUAAAAAAACAACCAUUUGUUUUUUAUUUUGGUAAUGUUACCUUAGAACUUCAUUAAAAUAACACAAGUUAGUUUGAUUCUUUCCGUUAGCUAGUUUAUUUGAUAUGACCUACAUUUCUAUUGUACACAAAUCGGCAUAUGAUGCCAAGUGCGUCACCUUUUUUCAUGGAAAAAGUUCGUUCUAAAAAUAGCACAAGAAGUACACACAGUAUGGAAGCCCAGUGGUAAGCAUAAAAUUGUUAUUUCAUUCAAGCAUAUCUGUGUACAUGCUCAGUCCAGUGAAAACAAAACAAGUUUUCAAGACCAAGUAUUUAAUUUUAAUUUUUUUUUGAGACUGAAAACCUUACAAAAAUCAAAAAGAAACAAAAUAAAAAAUAGAAAAUAAAAAAUUUUAAGUUUUAAAAAAUUAGUAAAAUUAUUAAAAGUAACAAAAAUAGAAUUAAAAGUUGAUAUUGACAAUUCAUUUUUUUUUCACGUGUCUCUGGUUCUGUUAUGGCUUUUCCAGCUACUAUCUUGUAAAUGAAACGUCUUUCCUUUUUUGGUGGAUUUCUUUUUGACAAAUUUGUUGAUUUAUAAUUGAAGAAAGCUGUAUUUUCAUCCGGUUUUUCAACAGUAAUUUUUUCAACAACAUAAAUUUGGAUGCUUCCAUUUUCCGGGUUUGAUGAUAUAGGUUCUGUGUCAGCAUUGAUCUCUGAAUUGGACAUUACAUUUACUGCUUCAGUCGUUAUGUUUUCAAUGGCAAGGAUAUCUUCAACUGUUGUACAUGUAUUUUCCUCUAGUUGUCUCUGUUUAUGCAUGCCAUCAGAAAUUGAAAACAAGGACUGGUCAAUAGCAUCUCUAUUUAAUGGGUAUAUACCUGAUUUACAGAAAGCAGACUGUAAAUUUGUUGGAGAAAGAGCAAAGUUGUAAGAUUUGCAGGCAAUAGAACAUAAGUUGUACUUGUUAAUUACAGAUGAAUUGGUGCGUUGGAAUUUGUGACAUUCGGAACUGUAUAUUCUUGCAAAGGGCCCAAAACAACCAACAUCCAUGGGCUGAAGAACAUGGCUGGUAUGAAGAGGUAAUACAUACAAGAUAAUUUUUUUCUCAUCUGCCCAAUCAAUUAUAUCUGGUGUUAUGUGUGUCCUGUGGCCAUCAUAGAGAAGAAGACUAUGUUUGUCCUGCAUUCCAGUUACAUAUUUGAUGAAAUGAGUUUCUAGAUAUGACUGAAAAAUCUCUGAAUUGGACCAUCCAGUUUCAUUGACAGACCCAUCAGCACCAGGUGUGGCCCCUUCUUACAACUCUGUCUCAUACGUUUACCAGCGAAAAUGAAAUAUGGUGGAAUUUGAUGUCCUAAGGCAUUGCCACAUCCCAUUACCGUUGUUGUUUGGCCUUUUUCUGAGGACAAGGUAGAGGGUACAUACUCUGCAGAGGCUACAACAUUUGGGGGUUUAUAGUUUGGUUGUAAACCCUUUUCGUCGACAUUAUAAAUGCUCUGGGGCCUGUCUUUCAGCUGAUAUUUUUCCAUUAUACGGUCAAGUUCAUCGAAGUACCUAUAAAUUGAUGUCCUUGAGGUUGCCUUUGCUCUAAGCUCUGAGAUGGUUUUAGGUCUCCAUACCUUAAGUUCUGGUCAUCUACCCAUGAAGCCAUAAAACCAUCUCAGAGGAAGAUGCUUGUCAUCUUUUCUUUUCAUACCCAAGUGGACAGCAUACUCGGUUCCAAGAUCCACCAGUUCAGCUUUAGUGUACGCAUAAUCUACUACACCCAUUUCCUUUAUGUGCUGAACCAAUCUUGCCUCCUGUUCACAAUCAAACACUGGUGGUGGUCCUGACUUCACGUUGUCUACAGAGAUGUGGUCCAAUACACGAUCUCUCAAUGUCUGUUCAGGAAGACAAUACUUCCUUGCCUCCUUGGCAACACUAAGCUUGUUGUCAGUGACAUCUAGAUAAGCAUUAGUCAGUUUUGUUGGUGAAUAUGACUUAUGUUUCUGUCUUUUAAGUUGAACCUGUAAAAUACGAAAGAAAAAAUAACAUUAAUUAUUUUGUGAUACACAGAACAAAAAAAAAAAACAAAUAAAUUCACAAUAAAUUAAAAUGAUACAAAUCCUCUAUAAAACCUAGUUAUCAAUGUUAGAUGAACUUAAUUUACAAAAACUGUGCUCAAUUACUUCUUGAAAGUUCAUUUGAUGAAACAAAACUCAUCUUUUAUCGCUAAAAUACAUUGAAAUCAUAUAAGAUUAUGACACUGAUUGCGUUCCAUAGAUUUGUUUGGCAGACAUGCAGGGAAUCUCCUUGUUAGUCACGUGAUAUUGUUCAUUAGAUAGUAGAGUAAACAGACGACACUUGGAUUUGGGAUUAUAUCUUUGGAAUAAAAGUAUAUGGGUUGAUGGAAAUCAGUAAAAUUAGGUAAUAAGUAAAAUCCGCCAUUUUGAUAAUUAAAUAAAUAAGUAAACUGUCUUACCUUGCUAGAAUCUACGAGAUUCAUUUUGUAUGUUGACGUUGUAGGGAUAUCCUAUAGCAAUCAAAUCAUGCGAGUGAUGACGUCAUAACAAUAACACGCAUGCGAGACAUUUAGGAUUUCCGGAAGCCCACGAACUUAUGUAUCCACGAAAUUAUGUGACUAGACUGUACGUAUAUCCUUUCGGAUUUGGGUUCUCCAUACUUUACAACUUUGUGUUUUUUUUGGCCUUACAAUUUUUUAAAUUAUUCUUUAUUCAAGCGUGACUUAUGGGUUGUUGAUUGUAUAAAUACAAAAUUGAGUUUUUCGUAAAUAUUGAUAGCCUUUUGGGUAAUAUGACUACUGAGCUUUAUGUAUAUUCUCGAAUAUUUUUAAAGAUUACUUUCCAUCUCGCUUUUGUAAUUCAUCUUUUUUAAUCAAAAUUGCUCAUCGAAUAUUCAAGCCUAGUUCAGCGAAUGUUUCCUAUACAUCAUAAAUGGAACUCGAAAGAAAUCAGUUGAACGGUUAAAUCAAAUAUGAACUAAAGAACAUUCAAUUCAAAGAUUUCUAAAUACUUUUGCAUUAUAUAGCUAAUAUAGAAAAGAAGAGGUGGUCUGAUUACCAAUAAUACAACUCUUCAAAAGGGACUGAAUAACAUAAAAAUGAUCACUAUCUUAAACAUCUAUAGUUCACCAUUCGGCAUUCAACAAUGAGCAAAAGCAAUCUAUGAAUUAUUUUAUAAAGACCAUAGUGGUUCAAUCUAUUGGAAAUUAGAUACUCACAAAAUUCACAGAAUAAUUAUUGUAUCCUUAAAAUUUAAUGUCAAUAUAAGUGCUUAUUAUUUGGCCAUGAUACUAUCUGGAACGAACAUUCAGCAGCAUUGGAAUAUAAUCAGGAAUAAUAUGAGAUAGAUUCGGUAUGAUUUUUAUUGGACCAAUUUUCCAGCAGUCAGCAACUGAUAUAACAUUAAAGCAAGUAUAGGUCAACGUAUGUUAUAAGGAGCAAAACCCAUACUGGCUAGCGAAGCUAUACAACAUUCGAGAUGACAAAAGUAAAACAGUUCAAACUAAAAUGAUUUCGACUUGUGUCAUGUACAAAGCAAUGAACAAAGCACAAAUUUGAUACACAGCAACAAGCAAAUAACCACGGACUUGGGACAGGCGUAUACAGGAUGUUAUAAUGUCAAAAAUGUUAGCGGGUACCCAUCAAAUUCCUAACCUUGGACAGCAUACAUGAACACACCAUACACAUCGGUUGAAUUGGGUCAAACUCCUCAAAUCGAUAAUUUUAAGAUUAGACAAGAAUUACUGAUAUCAGUGUAAACUUAUUUACAAAAUUUACUUGAUAUGCCUGUUCAGCAUAGUGUUUAUGACAGAUCUUUGUUAUUCUCUGUUCAAUUUAUUCCCACUCUUUUUCUUGUUCCGUGUCAUUUAGAGCAUGUCUUAAACAUAGACACUUCUUUAAUUUGUUGUACACAUUUGACUUCUAAUGUCUUCUCCUGUUAACGUUGAUACAUUACGACUGUUUCGUAUGGCAAUAUGAAUCGCUGUACUGCUAGUACCCAGGCUUUAUCUGGUUUAGUUGCCAAAACCGGAAUAUUUCACUGAUCAAUGAAUUCACUGCUAUGUAAAUAUGACCUGUAUAGAUUAAGUAGACAAUUGUAUUUAUCUUAUUGAAGCCAGGAAAAGAGAAGGGGCAAGAAGACUCUAGUAUGAACGUAGAUCACACAUUUAGACAUAAAGGUGUAAUGUUUUCUUAAAUAACAAAUAUAAUUUUUAAGGAUAUCCAAACUUUUUCUAGAUUUUAUAUCAUAUAAGUCUUUUUGUAUUUUCCUUAUUUUACAUCCUUUUAAGCAUAUGUUAGAAUGAACAGUUGGAUUAUUUCUAUGGUUAAAGCAAAGCUUCUUUAAACUUUGUUGUUGUUUUCUAUAUUUUCAUGAAAUACACACAUAUUGGGACUCUGUUUUGACAUCCUUACAUUACUAAUAGUAUGUUGUUCAUUGAUAUAUUUCUUUGGGCAAUACCGAUCCAUAAAUACACCUAUAGUGCAAAAAAGUAUGAAUGAAAUGGAAAUUUUAAAUUAUAUAUAAAAAAGGUUUAGUAAUAAAUGUUUAACAGAACCAUUCAAUCGUAAUAUGUACGUAUGCUAUAGGUUUUGACUACAGAAAGGGUCCGUUUGUCCGACAGCCGAAUAUUUAAACAAUUCAUUGUUUAAUUAUUUCAAGAAGUUUUUAUUAUUUAUCAAGAAGUUUUUAUUAUUGCUCGUCCUAAGCAAAGCUCUUGUAAUUCAGUGACUGUGUACGGUUGUUUCAGUCAUAUUGUUUUCUGUUUAUUGUUAAUGAAUUUACAGUAAAGCCCAUUUGUUUACUUAUUAUAACAGAACAUUUUCACUGGUUUUAAAGUGAUAACCGUAACUUGAAUUACAACUAUCCCAAUAUGGCGUGUGCAGAUAUAGGUAAAAUCUUCACAGACAUUUACGGUUAUCACUUUAAUAUCAGUGAUUUUAGAGUAAGGUUUUAUAUAUUUUUUUUCUAAAGCCAUAUGGUUAUGUAAAAUGGUUACGCCUACGGCUCUGGUAUUUUUUUUUAUAAAGUUGUCAUAUCGCCGAUGAACUAUAUAAUUGAAAAAAAUAAAAACUAAAUUAUAACGUGUCAAUGUAGGCUUAUUUUAUGCAAAGAAUGCAGUAAGUUGAACUAUAAAUCAUUUCAAAAUGUAAAGGCUUUGUUGAAUUUAAAUGGAAGAUUAACAAAAUGGGAUGCACGGUACAACGCAAUCUUUUCAAUUGAUAACUUUUUAUGUUUUGAACCGCGUUUAUUCACGCGUUAUAUCGGUAUUCAGAUCUUAUAUUUAUAACUCGUUCAAGGACAAAGCUUAAAGUCAUUUUGUAAUCAUUUCUGUUUUCACAUUAAAGUGAUGUAUAAGAGGCUUUAUAAAUAUUUAUGAUACAUUAAGAAUGGAAAUCUGAAUCAGUAUAUGCACUCGAGCAUUUUGAUGAUUUUUACUCAUUAUUGCCAAAAGCAUUUUUGUUAUUAUGCUUUUUUAUAUUUUUGGUCAACUCCUUAUUCAAAAUUCAUCAUUGUCCUGUCUCUUGUUCAUAAAAAGCAUGACUGCUUUAAUUUAAACACAAAAACAGGGUGAAUGUCUUUAAUUCUAUUGAAAACUAUUGAUAACUGAUGAGUGGACUGCCUAUACUUAAUGAAUAACAAACAAGAAAAUUUAUAAAAAACAUUAUUUGAAAUAAAUUUUUUAAUACCUAUUGAUUAAAUUGGUAAAUUGCCGACAAUUUCCACAUCAUGAAAUAUGUGUUCAAAUUCGGUAAAAAACUGAUCACUAAAAAUAAUAUCACGAUACAUUUUAGGAAAAGGUUCAUCCAUUUUGUUUCAUUUUUUUUAUUGCUGAGCGGCCUCAAACUCUUACUAAAUGUCUUUUCUCUAUCUAGAUAGAAAAUUUAAAAUUGCAUUAACCAAUAGAUUUAAUUUGUUAGCAUUUUCAUUUCUGAGUUCAUUUUAUAAUAAUUUCAUUGAAAUAUUGGUAUAGUGCUAAAUGUCAAUAACAAAAUGAACCGGUCUACUAACAUUUGUUCAAAUUAUAUAUGAGGUUCUUUUUUGCAUUCGGUUUUGUCCUAAUUUACACAACAUAAUAUAACUACUUGGCAUUGCAUUUUUAAAUUUCAGAAAUGUCACAUGUGUGUGAAAUUUGUGACUCUCGCCACAUUACAUCAGUUGUUUGGGGUCACGAAUGUGACGAUAAAUAAAUUUAUCAUAGAUACGCGGAUUCAAUUUUGUAUAUUGUCUAAAGACCUAGCAAUGCCGCCCGAAUCAAAAAUAGUUAAAAAGGCCCGAAAAAAGUACGAAGUUGAAGUGCAUUAAGGACCAAAAUUCCAAACAGUUUUGGCACGUACAACUAAGGUAAUCUAUGUCUGAGGUAGAAAAGCCUUAGUAUUUCAAACAUUUAAAAGUUAUGUUGCCUGCAGAAAGCAUCACAAAUAAUUGAGAAAGCACAAAACUGAACUAACUGCUGAAUAUAAGAAAUCACAUGGAAAGGAUUUUAAAUGAGCAAAAAUUUGAGGUAACCAAUAGAAGAUAUAUCAGGUAAUUUGAAAAUACAUUAACAACCCUGAUUCUAGUAAAUACGGACCAGCAACUGUGAAGAUAUAUCUUUGAUGAGUUAAGACAUAGACAUAUCGUCUCGGUCAACCAAUUCAUGAUGAUGAUCAUAAUGUCUACAGUAUCGAUUUCAGCCGUACACUUCUGUUAAUGAAGUCUGUAUAGCGCUCAGUCUUUAUUUUCCUCUCUUGUAUUUCAUGUAUAUUUUCUACACUAAUUUCAUUUAUUAUGUUGAUACCGCUUUUUGCGGAUUAUGGAGAUAUUGCAAUUUGUGAAUAUUCUAACAAGUCUAUAAAACUAUAGUUCGUUGAUCAUUUGAAUGCACAGUCAUUCCAAAAAAUGGGUACAAUUACAAAAUUUUAGUGUCGCCGGCAAAUAACCACAAAAUGCAAGCUUAACAUAUGUCACAGAUAAUCUUUUUUCGUGUUCUAAGUGAUUAAUAUGUAUACUAAAAUAAAAUUAUAUUCUUUUGUGAUGUAUAUCGUAAAUAUAUUUGUGUGAUUUUCUAUUCAAUAUACGGAAAUCACACGAAUUCCGAAUGUCGCCAAGAAAAACUCCAAAUAUCGGUGUGAAUUAAAAUACUUUAUUUCAUCUAAAUCAUGAUUAGAUUUGCUUUUUUUAUUUGACACUAUAUUGAUUUUUAUCCACAAAAAUAUUUUAGAAUCAAAAGUUAUAAUAUACACUUUGAUUUACCCAUUAAACCAAUGUCGCCGAUAAACGUAUAACCUACCGUAACGUAUCUUUAGGUACAGUCAAAACAUAUUUAUAUGAUUGGAAAUCAUGCCCAAAGUGACUUUAAGCAAAGUUGAUACAUCAAAUUUUAAAAUCCUGCCUUUAACUUUUAUUGCAAUGAAACGAAAAAUAAAAAAAAAUCUUUCUCUUUCUCUUUUUUUCGAUUGUCGCAUAUAAGAAUCCAACCUACGUAACGCGUAUUUUGGAACGCACUAACCAAGAACAAAUCAAAAUGAUGAUUAUUUCAUUGAAAGCACCCAUAAAGCUUCUCAAUAAUCAGUUUUGAGAAAGCAACUCAACAAUAUUGUUACAUAUUUCCAUGUAUAAUGUAAAUAAAACUAACCUCCGUUUAAAUAACCUCCGUGACGCAGUUAUUUACAGUUAAGUUGUCAGACUUUUUUAUCAGUAUCAGCGGCUGCCGACACUGCCGAAAGUCAUUUUUGUAGCAGACAUCAUUUAUUAUAAAGAAAACAGACAAACAAAAUACAGAUUUUGAGAAAAAAAAUGUUGUUUUGAGAAAGGUAGGUUAACUUGUUUUUUCCCUAUUUAUGUGAGCAACAUUAUAACGUUUAAUAAACGUUAUAUCAGCCAUUUUCUUAGAUUUAAAAUAGUCUACAACACAACUUGUGUAAUUACGACGACAAUCAUAACUUUAACAGCGGUUUAUGGCAAACAUUUUCAAGAUUAUUUAGGACUCAUCAAUGUAACGGAGGUUAUGCAAAUAAAAAAAAUCUAAAGAUGCAUGUAAACACGAUCAUACCAAUUGAAAUUCUUGUACAUUGUUAUAGAUACCAAAUCAGUUCAUCAAUUAUCACUAAUAAAAAUCAAAAGGUGAUGUCAAUCAUAGACGACAUCAUUUUAUUUACGUUACGGAGGAUAGAAAUUUAAGGAAAAAAAGUUUUUUUUCUCUAACAGGACUUUACUCUUUUUAGAUAACGAUUUACUAAGAAAAAUGUUUAAUUCUGUUGUCUUGUUUGUCAUUUAAUUCCAAUAUUUACAUUCAUUUAUAUGUUUGCUGUUGGUAAGAACUGGAAUUGUCCGUUAUGGAGGUUUUAAAUGUCGUUACGGAGGAUAGAAAUUUUCGAAAUGAAACUAUUUUGACUCCAAAACUUCAUAGUUGAGUAUAAUACAUACAUUAUGGUGUGAAGGAAGAUGACAUUAUCUGUAUAGAGCUAAUAAAAUUAAGUUGAACAGUAUUCGGUUUAGGUAAAACAUAUUUUUGAGUGAAAGUUCAUGAAUCGUUACGGAGAUUUUGACAAGAACAAGUCCAUUUGACUAAAAGAAACAUAUAACUUGAUAGAAAACAGUUUUUUAGUUUGUAAUGUCAAUAAAUUGUUUAGAAAAGCUAGCAUUAAAGAGUUAAGUGUUACUAUGUAUCAGCAUUCAGAUACUGGUUUGAUAUCAACCUCCGUAACAAAGAUGGGGGUGUGGAUUAAUACAAGCAUAAAAAAUAUCUACAAGUGAUUCAAAACAUAAAUAAUAGGGUUUUUCCUGGAAAGCUGUAUUAUGAAACUAAAAUAUUAUACAGCAUAACAUUUCAUUAGUUUAAAUUUAUUACUAAAUAAGUUGUGAAAACUACUUAUUUGAAUUUUUUUUAAACACUAUAUUAAUUCAGACCUUAAAAUUGGUAUUUGCUUUCAAUAUAUACAGAAUAAUACGUAUAAAUCAGUUUGCUAUGGUGGUAAAUGUAACCCAUUUCACAUGAGCCUGGAUUUAAAUCUUGUUUUUUUCUCUAAUGCAAUUUUUAAGAUGACUUUAUACAACACUAACCUCCGAUACGUUCAUACUUACCUUGUCUUACAAAAAAUGCGAAAACUAGAAAACAACUAAAAUGGUGUAAGUAAAAAUUUAAAAAAUGACAGACUAGAUAUAGACACAGAAGAAAACAACACUCUCUCUCUGCUCAGUUGAAAUUUAUUUUUUAACAGUGUCUACAUUCGAAUUGUACCCAUUUUUUGGGAAUGACUGUGCAAUGUUAUCUUAAAGAUGUACUUCGUUGAAAUUUAAAAAAAAUCUAUAAUUAAAAAUUGAUAUUAUAAGUUGAAAGAGCACUAGUUGAGGUACAAACUAAAAUACAAAUAGUGAUAUGUUAUUGAGCUUCUUUUUGAGAUAUUUGAUUUAAUUUGUUUUUAUUAAUUACAGGAACAAGAUAACUCGAACUCUUUCCCAAGUCAGGAUCUGAUGUUCAGUCGUUGUCGUUUGUUGAUGUGUUUCAUAAGAGUUUCACGUUUCUCGUUUUGUUAUAUAGAUUAGAUUGUUAGUUUUCUCAUUUAAAUGGUUUUACACUAGUAGUUUUUAGGCCCUGUAGGGCUUGCUGUUCGGUGUGAGCUCCGUGUUAAAGACCGUAACUUGACCUAAAAUGGUUUAUUUUACUUUUAUAAAUUGUGACUUGGACGGAGAGUUGUCUUAUUAACACUCAUACCACAUCUUCCAAUAUUUAUUUAACCUUAUAUUUGCAUUGGAAUUAUUAUGGCAUCAAAUCGAAACAAAAUACAUUAAGAACUCGCUUUAUUGUUGGUAAAUUACCAUUUAUGAGUUAUUAAUGUCUUAUAUAAAGAGAAAAUGGUCCAAAAAGCUUACCCUGUAUUAAUGGACAAAAACACAAGGAGUCCAAACCUCUGACACAUUGCUUAAAACUCACUUAUGUACAUCCUUAAAACGAAAAUUUUUUCCUUUCUUUUUUUACCAAGGCACUGUCGAUUUAAACAUUCCCAUGACCUCUUUGUCUCCUCUCUCUUUUGUGUUUUUUUUAACUUAAAGGAGAGCUAAAGGUUAAAACUGGCGAAUGACGUAUCAGAAGCAUUGCUACUGACGACACAAGAAAUUGGUUGAACUAUUUUAUAUAUCUAAAUCUGUGAAGCUAGCAUAAAAUAACCGAUGAGGCAUUGUUUCAUACUAACUUCCUUAACACAUGAGAUCCCCCAGGCCGAUGUCUAAAGGGGGUUCGUCUUGCUCAGUAUAUAUCUACGUUGUGCACUGUAGUUUGUCGCUUUGUCUUUUUCUUCUUCACCAUGGCGAUGUCAGUCUGUAUUUGAUUUGUUAGUUCGAAAAAAUAUCCCUUUGGUAUCAUCUGCUUCUCUUUUAUUCCCUUUUAGUCGUGGUAUUCAAUAAUUAGACAAGCUUGAUAAAUUUAAAAACAAUUGCAAAUCCAUAUUUUUGCUGCGUCGAUAUGUAUAGCAUUCUUCAAAAAUUUUGGCAUGGUUCAAUAAAUUGUUUCUUUUCUGAAUUUUGAAAUAUACCGUAGAUAAUUCAAAUAGAACAGAUAUUAAAAUCAUUCCUGCAUUUUACGAAAAAGUGGCGAAUGGUACCAGAAGAAUAGUCAAAUUAACCAUCGCUAAUAUGUAUUUAAUACUUGGCCUACGAUUUUACUUAUCCACGCGUACCGGAGGAUAUUUGCGUACAAAAGGAUAUUUGCAACAGUUAAUUCCAGUUUUUAGAAAGUCAAGUUUACAACACAAUACAUAUCUCAAUUCAAACAUUACAUAUACAGAAAAAUCUCAGUAAAUAAAGGUAGCAUAAUAAAAGCAAUGAAAGAAUCUAACCCGCUGAAGUGUUACAUUGCUUUUAAAUUUAGGCAAUGUGGUAAGAUAGGUAAAGUCUCGAUGUCAAACAUAAACACUAGACUCAUGCGUUUAUAGAUGGUUUAAAGACUAACAAUAAGAAGAUUUUGAGGAACAAAAUGUGACUUUUUUAUCUUAUUUUUUGAGAAAUUACAUACCAUAAACAUUUGGAUUUUAAAAUGAUGGCUUCUCUAUGUUACCGACGGGUUUAACGUGCAAUCUAACUCUUCAAAAUAUUUACCAACAUCCAAUAAAAAUUAUGCCUCCAAACUAAUUCCAUUAGAAUGUCAUGAUUUAUAACUGAGACAUCAUCAACACUGCUACUAAAACUACCUCCAUUAGUGUUAUAUGUAAUGAAAGAUGGAAAAUAGAUUUUCGAUUAUAUAAAUUAAAUGCAGUAUUGUUUUACUUCAGUUACGCAUCUUUAAUCUAUUCUGAAUAUGCAAAGCUCCUGGUGCGGGAUUGUUUUCGGUUUUUUAAAGACCCAUUUGUGGCCUUUGGUGGUUUUCUUCUGUUUGGUCGGGUUGUUAUCUCUUUUGCACACACCCCGUUUCCAUUCUCAAAUUUACUACUUACUCAUUCUACUGCUUUAUUUGGAAAAGUUUCGUUAAUAGGCUUGCUUCCAUUCAAGAAUAACUUUCAUGGUUGAGUGUGCUUACACAUAUAAAUGCAAUAUAAAGUUAAAAAUAUAAUGUUAAAGACAUGGCAGUUGUUAUCUUAUAGUUCGUUUCUGUGUGUGUUACAUUAUCAUUUUGUUUUUUUGUUGCACUUCAGUGUUUCUGUUGUAUCGUUGUUUUCUAUUAUAUUAGUUAAUGUUUUCUUCAGUUUUAGUUUGUAACCCGGAUUUGUUUUUCUCAAUCGAUUUAUGACUUUCGAACAGCGGUAUACUACUGUUUCUCUUAAUUAUAGUUCCCAUUACUAAGACCUUCGGCAUUCAAGAUUUAGACCUUUGACGUUGAGAAUUUCGUUAGGCUUACAUGGUGUUUUUUUCAAAUAAUGUUUUUUUCUUGUUUUUGCAACUCUUGUGGCGAUCCAUCAAAUUGAUCUUUUAAUAGAUUCAAUUAAUCUUUAUAACAAAAUUGUCUUAAUUCUGAAAACAUUUAAGAAAAGUUAACGUAUCAAUUGCAGUGUUUGUUGACAAAUCAGGAACGGUAAAUUUUGUUCGAAAGCAACUGAACACAAAUUUAACCUAACUUAUUUUCAAUGUUUUUUUUUUAUUUAGUAUUUCCUGAAUAUGCAAAUAAUCUCUUCAAACUGGAAGGAAAUCACCUAUAAUUCAUCAAGCCUUUCAUGAAGGAAGAUACACCGCACCGUUGAAUGAAGAAGGUAUGAAAAUCAAACAAAAACACAGAUGUAUGUUAUAUUUUAUGUAACAUGAGCACACAUGAUAGAAAGAUAAUAUUGCGGAUAUAUAUAUAAUAUGAUUUUGUUCAAAAUGUUUUUUAGCAUGUCUAACAUUAGGAAAUGUGGAAAACUUCAAUUUUUUUUCAAAGGCAAUUGUUUUUUACAGUUUAGCUAGCAGAAUGCCUUAACAUUUUAUGUUAUCUAGUUGUCUCGAACCCAAAUAAGAAAAUGCAUGGCAUUUGAAAUAGCUUAUAGUCUAAAUAGCAUAGGAGUACUAUCUAUUAAACAAAGUAUAUCAAAAAUAUGAUAAACACCAUCUAUUCUAAAUAAAGAUAUCGACAAUUCUAGGUUAUUUGGGUAUUGAGUUAAAGUAUACAGCUUUGGAUAUUUAAAGACAACGGAAAUGCAUAGUAUAGGUGUCUUCCUAAUCCACUUGCAUACAUUUCAAACAUUACUGAAUAUGUUAUAUGAAAAAUAUUUUCCAUUGUAUAACCCUAUCAUAAGUGGCAAAAAAUCUCAAAAAUUUUUAAAGUGACGCCUCCACUUUUUAUUUCUAUUAUCCUACUAAUUUUAAAUUUAAACUUGAUAUUUUAUCUUUUUCGAAAACAAUUGUUAUUGCUAUAAUAUGACAAAGUAAGACAAAAUAUAUUAGAUUAUAUAUCGAUUAACAUGUUAACUAACAAUUGUUCCAUUAUUCGUCGGAUUAAAUACGCAUUACAAUUAUUCCUUUGUUACUUAAAAAGAUUGUAUUGGUAUCGUAUUACUUUUUUUAUUCUAUACUUGAAUUAAACUAAAGGAAUAGUUAUAAGGUAAAUGUUUAACAAAACGGCUUUUGGUAAAUGAUCAUAAAACAAAACAAAAACACAUCUAUACAUGGUCAUUCAUACCUUCUACAGUUAUAGCUGAUGACAAUUGUUUUCAAAAAUGGUAACAUAUCUAUAAAAGAAAACGUAUCGACUUUUAACUGCUAACUAAAUUUAGUCAGAUGCACCGAAUUUUGCUAGUUAAAGGUAAAAGAACUAGUUAAAAUUUACCACACUGUGUUUUUUGUUUGGUAAAACAGUCCCUCCCAAAGGAAAAUCUAAAAUAGGGAUAUCUUUGAUACAAAACGAUUGAACGAUACUGUUACAGCAAUGCAAUAUGUUGUAUCUUCACAUUUUAAAUCAUAAAGUUCUACUGUCUAAGAAAAGUACAUGUAUUUAAAAAUAAGUGUUGGUUUUCAUAAUAUUUUCAACAUAAAAAUAUUGAACAUGUUUUAUACUCCAAUUCUUAGAAAGAAAAUACUAAAAAAAAAUUACAAUGUCACGUUUUAUACAAAAUAAGACGAUAAUAAAGCAAUAAAAACAAAUCUUUGCAUUGCUACCUAUUUCAAACAUCAUUGGAGCAAGAAAGAAAUUAAACAUUUAAGAUAAUAAGUGAUUCAAAACAAUCAAAACAAAAACAUGUUGAAAUAAAAAUUACAAAUUCUUGAAAAUACGCUUUUCCUUUUAUAAUAUCAUCAUUUAAUGCAUAGCUCUUUUAAAUAAUUAAAAUUUUCAUACUUUUUUCUCCCAAUUUUCAAUGAUCAGUUCUAUAAGAUUUAUCUAACGUGAAGAGAGCUUGGCAACUGUCAUUACACUCUAGGCAUAGGAUGGUAUGUGCAUAUUUCGACCGUGCAUUAAUAUACGAUUAUACAUUAUGCAUUGCUAUACAAAAAGCAAUAAAACAAUACCAAUAAAAGUACAUUUCUAAUUUGUUAUCCAGCGUUAGCAGGUCAUACUGUUAGUAUAUUGUUACUAUACUAAGAAUUGUCUAGUAUGUAGCAUAGCAGGUAGUUCACGUGAUAUACAAACUUAUUCUAAGAUCUGCCUAAUUGUUUUGAACAAAUGAAAUCAUCAUAUACAACCAAUAUAAAUGAUGGAGAAAAAACGAAAGUUUGGUUAGUCUCUGAUUUUAAUUUAAACUCUACGCGGUUCUUUAGAGCACUCUGUAUAUUACUUUUUAUAUACAUAUAUUUGGUUAGUAUGGCGAAAUUAUAACACAAAUGGUUUACUUUCUAGAAAUGCUUCAUAUUUGCUAAAGCAAUGAUAGUAAAUCUAUUUUAGAAGAAACUAUAAUCUUAUUUACAUAUUGUUUAGACAAAACAUCUAAUGUAACACACUUAAUAAGCCAAAUGCUUGCCGCAAGUCCGUGUAUAUAAUUACAGAUAUGUGGCGUCAAAUAGAGGUUAUAUCUCUAUUAAUAAGAUUUGAUUGCCUUUUGAAGCUGUUCCCAAAAAACAACAUCGCCGUACUCAUCAUUUGGAUACUCAAUAUAUGAUUGACAAUGAACCAGUUCAAGUAUUUUAAGUGGAAGAUCGCAAGCAGACAUUUGCUCGUAAAAUACUAGGAAAAGGAUGUUCUCACAAUGACGUUCAUAGAUACUCUCCAUUUUAGCCAUAUUAUAUUCGAACAUACACCAGUACGAAGCUAAAUAAUUUGCAGACAUUAUGACAAUAGUUUUCCGGCUGUUAUGAAUUGCGGAUGUGAUAUUAGUGGCGAUGUCAUUUCCGGGUAGGAAAUUCCGCCUAUGCAAGCACAAUUGGAUUCCACCAUUUUUCUCUAGAUUAUUGAGAAGUUUAUGGUGGACAAAUGUGUCAUCCUCAUUUGCAUAUGACACGAACGCAUCAUACAUGUAUAGUCGUUCAUCUUUGUCGUCUGAACGAGGUUCGGGGUCAUGCCAUUUGACUUUGACCAUGUAGUAAAGAUAGCGUAGUUUCCAUCUAUAUCUGUAAACAAUACCACCACAAAGAAUAAAAAUAAACAUCAAUAUUCCUGUCGUUAAUCCAAUUAUUAAGCCUUCAUAUGACAUACAUUCCUUUUGUAUUGUUUUAAAAACUUCUCUAGGGUUUUGCAGAAGACUGAUGGUGUUUUGUGAUGUUUUACAUUCGUAUUCUUCCCGAUGAUGAAGAAUGGUUGAUGUGUAAAUUAUCCAUUUGACGAAAGACUGAGAAUCACAAUUACAUGCAAGAUUAUUUUCAGCAAGGUCAAUAGUAAGAUUUUUAUUAAUUUUGGCAAUCGAGUCCAACUCGUUCAUGGCAUAUUGACUCAGCGUAGUUAUUCUAUUAUUCCGUAA